Molecule: ribosomal RNA, 575 nt
Filed under: uncultured bacterium
Lineage: Bacteria
Description: partial 16S ribosomal RNA
Rfam family: Bacterial small subunit ribosomal RNA
Source: RNAcentral
UGGGGAAUAUUGCACAAUGGGCGCAAGCCUGAUGCAGCCAUGCCGCGUGUGUGAAGAAGGCCUUCGGGUUGUAAAGCACUUUCAGCGAGGAGGAAGGUGGUGAACUUAAUACGUUCAUCAAUUGACGUUACUCGCAGAAGAAGCACCGGCUAACUCCGUGCCAGCAGCCGCGGUAAUACGGAGGGUGCAAGCGUUAAUCGGAAUUACUGGGCGUAAAGCGCACGCAGGCGGUUUGUUAAGUCAGAUGUGAAAUCCCCGGGCUCAACCUGGGAACUGCAUUUGAAACUGGCAAGCUAGAGUCUCGUAGAGGGGGGUAGAAUUCCAGGUGUAGCGGUGAAAUGCGUAGAGAUCUGGAGGAAUACCGGUGGCGAAGGCGGCCCCCUGGACGAAGACUGACGCUCAGGUGCGAAAGCGUGGGGCAGCAAACAGGAUUAGAUACCCUGGUAGUCCACGCUGUAAACGAUGUCGAUUUUGGAGGUUGUGCCCUUGAGGCGUGGCUUCCGGAGCUAACGCGUUAAAUCGACCGCCUGGGGAGUACGGCCGCAAGGUUAAAACUCAAAGGAAUUGACGGGGUC